AUUCAGAUGACGAGUCCCAAAGAGGACGAAAUGCGCAUCCUGCAU
This is a non-coding RNA of Trichobilharzia regenti, 45 nucleotides long. The record is from Rfam. Lineage: Eukaryota; Metazoa; Platyhelminthes; Trematoda; Strigeidida; Schistosomatidae.